RNAcentral lists this ribosomal RNA (856 nucleotides) under Sporoschisma hemipsilum. Its description in RNAcentral is "eukaryotic LSU rRNA". It matches the Rfam family "Eukaryotic large subunit ribosomal RNA", at positions 67 to 955 of the family's 3401-position model. The record is from RNAcentral. Lineage: Eukaryota; Fungi; Ascomycota; Sordariomycetes; Chaetosphaeriales; Chaetosphaeriaceae.
AACCGGGAUUGCCUCAGUAACGGCGAGUGAAGCGGCAACAGCUCAAAUUUGAAAUCUGGCCCUCGGGUCCGAGUUGUACUUUGCAGAGGAUGCUUCUGGCGAGGCGCUGCCCAAGUCCCCUGGAACGGGGCGCCGGAGAGGGUGAGAGCCCCGUACGGUCGGCGGCCGAGCCUGUGCGAAGCUCCUUCGACGAGUCGAGUAGUUUGGGAAUGCUGCUCUAAGCGGGAGGUAGACCCCUUCUAAAGCUAAAUACCGGCCAGAGACCGAUAGCGCACAAGUAGAGUGAUCGAAAGAUGAAAAGCACUUUGAAAAGAGGGUUAAACAGCACGUGAAAUUGUUGAAAGGGAAGCGCUUGCGACCAGACGUGCGCCGGGGUGCUCCGCGGGCGUUCUCGCCCGCGCACUCGCCCCGGCGCAGGCCAGCGUCGGUUCGGAUGGGGGGACAAAGGCGCCUGGAACGUGGCUCCCCCGGGAGUGUUAUAGCCAGGCGCGCCAUGCCCCCGCCCGGACCGAGGUUCGCGUUCUGCAAGGACGCUGGCGUAAUGGUCCCCAGCGGCCCGUCUUGAAACACGGACCAAGGAGUCGAGGUUUUGCGCGAGUGUCUGGGUGACAAACCCGCACGCGCAAUGAAAGUGAACGCUGGUGGGAGCUUCGGCGCACCACCGACCGAUCCUGAAGUUUACGGAUGGAUUUGAGUACGAGCGCAGGGCCUCGGACCCGAAAGAUGGUGAACUAUGCUUGGAUAGGGUGAAGCCAGAGGAAACUCUGGUGGAGGCUCGCAGCGGUUCUGACGUGCAAAUCGAUCGUCAAAUCUGAGCAUGGGGGCGAAAGACUAAUCGAACCGUCUAGUAGCUGGU